This 112-nucleotide non-coding RNA is filed under the name Pelagibacterium sp. Its description in RNAcentral is "TPP sequence". It matches the Rfam family "TPP riboswitch aptamer (THI element)". Rfam says of the family: Vitamin B(1) in its active form thiamin pyrophosphate (TPP) is an essential coenzyme that is synthesised by coupling of pyrimidine and thiazole moieties in bacteria. The previously detected thiamin-regulatory element, thi box was extended, resulting in a new, highly conserved RNA secondary structure, the THI element, which is widely distributed in eubacteria and also occurs in some archaea. The record is from RNAcentral. Lineage: Bacteria; Pseudomonadati; Pseudomonadota; Alphaproteobacteria; Hyphomicrobiales; Devosiaceae.
GUCCAUCCACAGGGGUGCUCCGUGUUUCGGGGCUGAGAUGGAGGCAUGAAGCCUUCGGACCCUAAAGCUGAUCUGGGUAAUACCAGCGGAGCGAGGCGGGCGAUGUUUUCUG